Molecule: long non-coding RNA, 194 nt
Organism: Lynx canadensis (Canada lynx)
Lineage: Eukaryota; Metazoa; Chordata; Mammalia; Carnivora; Felidae
Exons: 4
Source: RefSeq, a predicted model, not a curated record
UCAGAGUGUGCACUUCCCAUUUGCUAAGUGGAGGAAGCAGCAAAUGCACAGGCUGAAGUGCAAAAGAAGAAAGAUGAGGCAGAGGUCCAAGUAAACUGCUAGCUCACGUACCUGCGGAAGCCACAGGAGCAGAAAUAAAGAAAGCCAGGGACGCUGGUACAAAUUGCUGGACUACAUGCCUACUUUCUAGAACU